GGAAUCUUGGACAAUGGGGGAAAGCCUGACGCAGCAACGCCGCGUGGGGGAUGAAGGCUCUUGGGUCGUAAACCCCUUUUGCCGGGGAAGAUAAUGACGGUACCCGGCGAAUAAGCCACGGCUAACUACGUGCCAGCAGCCGCGGUAAUACGUAGGUGGCAAGCGUUGUCCGGAUUUAUUGGGCGUAAAGGGCGCGCAGGCGGUUCGUUAAGUCCGAGGUGAAAUCUCCCGGCUCAACUGGGAGGGGUCUUCGGAUACUGGCGGACUCGAGGUGAGCAGAGGUGAGCGGAAUUCUGGGUGUAGUGGUGAAAUGCGUAGAUAUCCAGAGGAACACCAGUGGCGAAGGCGGCUCACUGGGCUCCACCUGACGCUGAGGCGCGAAAGCGUGGGGAGCGAAC
RNAcentral lists this ribosomal RNA (398 nucleotides) under uncultured bacterium. RNAcentral's name for it is "bacterial SSU rRNA". It matches the Rfam family "Bacterial small subunit ribosomal RNA", at positions 358 to 773 of the family's 1533-position model. The record is from RNAcentral.